UUGGGCCUACGGGACGCAGCAGUGAGGAAUAUUGGUCAAUGGGAGAGAUCCUGAACCAGCCAAGCCGCGUGAGGGAAGACGGCCCUAUGGGUUGUAAACCUCUUUUGUCGGAGAACAAAACCCGGGACGUGUCCCGGACUGCGUGUAUCCGAAGAAAAAGCAUCGGCUAACUCCGUGCCAGCAGCCGCGGUAAUACGUAGGUGGCGAGCGUUAUCCGGAAUGAUUGGGCGUAAAGGGUGCGUAGGCGGCCUGCUAAGUCUGGAGUGAAAGGUACCGGCUCAACCGGUACAGGCUCUGGAAACUGG
RNAcentral lists this ribosomal RNA (305 nucleotides) under uncultured bacterium. Its description in RNAcentral is "bacterial SSU rRNA". It matches the Rfam family "Bacterial small subunit ribosomal RNA", at positions 333 to 636 of the family's 1533-position model. The record is from RNAcentral.